Megalobrama amblycephala (Wuchang bream) is the source of this 1069-nucleotide long non-coding RNA. RefSeq lists it as uncharacterized. NCBI's taxonomy places the organism in Eukaryota, Metazoa, Chordata, Actinopteri, Cypriniformes, Xenocyprididae. The transcript has 3 exons. The record is from RefSeq and is a predicted model, not a curated record.
UUUGACCCCUCAAGUUCAAGGGGCGGAGUCAGAAAAACAACGGGGAAUGAGUUUUCGCGUGCAGAGAGAUCAGUUCAGAGAAAAAAAGAGUUGAUUUGAACACAGAUAAAGUUGAUCAGCGUGGAGAAAAGCUGAUAUUAUUCAACGCUCACGGACAUUCUGAGUGGCAGCUCGGUUGAGAAAGUUGGCCUUGCAUCAGUUUGCAGAUUGCAGCACGGGGGAAAAUACUUCAGGAGAAUUAGGCAAGAGGCCGCGCACUUCAGUCGUGAGUUGAAUCGAUGGAUGAGAACUAGCACGUGAGAUAAUCUUAUUUGAAAUCGUUAAAUAUAUUUGUUUUAUUAGAUUCAUAUUUACAAAUCACCCGGAAGAAUAUUCCCGUGUUUAUUUUCAAGUUCAGUGUUGCAGUUAUAAUAAGGUGCUUAAUUCGGUUGUAAUCCGGAAGAAUAUACACGUGUUUAUUUUAAUAAUUCAGUGUAAAAGUACCACAGUGGUGUGCAGAGUUCAUGUCAAUUGCGUGCAUAGUGUGUUUAAGAGAGUUCAUCGAGUCAAGAUCGGGAGUUCUGGGAAAUUUCGUGGAUGCACCACCAGUUCGAGGAGGGAGGAGUUCAUCGGGAUCCAUUCAGCGUCAUCGUGGGAUGCGUCAUGGAUGCUGUUAUCAUCUCGUUGGGGAGUGAGGAUUAGAGUUUGGUAUUCUUUCUGCACUUGAAACCUCAAUUUCUUUGGAUUUAACCAGGACAACAGAGGGCUUUUUGAGCUCGGACACUGAACAGACAGCUAGAGGAAUGUAUGGAGCAAUACGCCGGAUUUGAGAAAAAUGCGGCAUGUUGGGCUGAUGCAGUGAAGAUCACCAUGGUGACAAACUUGACAAGCUCUGUCACAGUCUGAAAAGAUGAUGGUAUUCCUGGGAAGAAGAAAGAAAGGCUGUUUCUGUGUGGAACUCAGUUUAGGAUGUUUAUACAUGCACAAACACACACACACACACACACACGCACGUACACGCGCACACACACACACACACACAACUGAAAUGGAGAGUUGAGCCAUAAACUAUAAACUACUUUUGUCUGUU